Molecule: unclassified non-coding RNA, 393 nt
Filed under: soil metagenome
Description: partial contains 5.8S ribosomal RNA, internal transcribed spacer 2, and large subunit ribosomal RNA
Rfam family: 5.8S ribosomal RNA (bases 1-121)
Source: RNAcentral
GAUGAAGAACGUAGCGAACGUGCGAAACGUAAUGUGAAUUGCAGAAUUCAGUGAAUCAUCGAAUCUUUGAACGCAUCUUGCGCUCCUUGGUAUUCCGAGGAGCAUGCCUGUUUGAGUGUCGUGAAUACUCUCAACUUCAACCCUUUUUUCGGAAAGGGAGGAAGGUUGGACUUGGGUGUUUGUUGAAGUGCGAGCUUCGACUCAUCCUAAAUGCAUUAGCGAUCUGCCUCGAUCACACACAAUGUGAUAAUUAAAACUAAAGCAUUGUUUAAUGAUCAAGUCGAGACUGCUUCUAACUGUCGCAAGACAAUAACGUGCAUACAUUUGUGCAUGUCAUUUGACCUCAAAUCAGGUAGGACUACCCGCUGAACUUAAGCAUAUCAAAGCGGAGGA